CCCAAUACAGAUAUGCAGAUGAGUGUGAGUAUAUACAUAUCAGUGUACAUAAACACCAAUAAUAUCAGUUAAUAUAGAAAUAUACGUAUGCCCUAUCAAUGCGCAAGGGUGCAUGUGCAGGCGCAUAUCAAUGUAUAUAUAACUGAUAGGAAGUUUAUACAUACGUAAAAACAUAUCACUAUAUGCAUAUCGUAUAUAUGCACACUAUGUAUAUAUAUAUGUAAAGUGCUAAUAAAUGUCUAUAUGGUCAUAUAUAUCUGUAUAUAGUAUGCAUGUAUUAGUGUAAACAUAUACAGUACAUACGCACUUAUCAAUGCGUAAGGGUGUAUGUGCGUGCACGUAUCAUUAUAUACAUACAUUGAUAAUUGUAUAUAACUGAUAGCAAACAACUGUAUACAUACAUGCAUAAACACAUCAUAGUAUAUAUACCCACAUCAGUCAUUACACAACAUGCGUAUAAGUGUACUAUAUAUCUGAGUGUGAAUGUGAGCAUGAGCGUGAAUGUGUGAGAGUGAGCGUGUGAGUGUAUGAGUAUGUGUGUGUGUGUGAGUGUGAGUGUGUGUUCGUGUGAGUGUGAGUGUAUGUGAGUGUGAGUGUAUAUGUGUGUCUGAGUGUGAGAGUGAGUGUGAGUGUGAGUGUGAGUGUGAGUGUGAGUGUGAGUGUGAGUGUGAGAGUGAGAGUGAGAGUGAGUGUGAAUGUGAAUGUGAAUGUGUGUGUGUGUAUGUGGUGAGUGUUAAGAAAAAGUUACUUAAUACAAUUGCAAACCACAAGUAAUACUCUUGAAAAUUCACUCCAUAUUUGCAUGAAAGAAGAAAGAGUGUGUUUGUUUUAAGAAAAAGUUACUUAAUAAAGACUGUGUGUCUUAAGAGUGUGUGUGUAUUAAGAAAAAGUUUCUUAAUAAAAUUGCAAACCACAAGUAAAGUUUCAGAAAAUUAAC
This 937-nucleotide long non-coding RNA is filed under the name Amborella trichopoda. Its description in RNAcentral is "long non-coding RNA (ATRI_LNC001029)". Lineage: Eukaryota; Viridiplantae; Streptophyta; Magnoliopsida; Amborellales; Amborellaceae. The record is from RNAcentral.